RNAcentral lists this ribosomal RNA (548 nucleotides) under uncultured Glomus. Its description in RNAcentral is "SSU rRNA". It matches the Rfam family "Eukaryotic small subunit ribosomal RNA", at positions 548 to 1098 of the family's 1831-position model. The record is from RNAcentral. Lineage: Eukaryota; Fungi; Glomeromycota; Glomeromycetes; Glomerales; Glomeraceae.
UUGGAGGGCAAGUCUGGUGCCAGCAGCCGCGGUAAUUCCAGCUCCAAUAGCGUAUAUUAAAGUUGUUGCAGUUAAAAAGCUCGUAGUUGAAUUUCGGGAUUAGUACGUUGGUCGUGCCUUCGGUACGUACUGGCGUUACUGAUUCCUACCUUCUGACGAACCAUCAUGUCAUUAAUUUGGUGUGGUGGGGAAUCAGGACUGUUACUUUGAAAAAAUUAGAGUGUUUAAAGCAGGCUCGCGCUUGAAUACAUCAGCAUGGAAUAAUGAAAUAGGACGUUGACCCUAUUUUGUUGGUUUCUAGGAUUGACGUAAUGAUUAAUAGGGAUAGUUGGGGGCACUAGUAUUCAAUUGUCAGAGGUGAAAUUCUUGGAUUUAUUGAAGACUAACCACUGCGAAAGCAUUUGCCAAGGAUGUUUUCAUUAAUCAAGAACGAAAGUUAGGGGAUCGAAGACGAUUAGAUACCGUCGUAGUCUUAACCAUAAACUAUGCCGACUAGGGAUCGGAUGAUGUUAAUUUUUUAAUGACUCAUUCGGCGCCUUACGGGAAAC